AGCAGCCGCGGUAAUUCCAGCUCCAAUAGCGUAUAUUAAAGUUGUUGCAGUUAAAAAGCUCGUAGUUGAAUUUCGGGGUUAGUAGGUUGGUCGUGCCACUGGUACGUACUGGUCUCACUGACUCCUCCUUCCUGAUGAACUGUAAUGCCAUUAAUUUGGUGUUGCGGGGAAACUGGACUGUUACUUUGAAAAAAUUAGAGUGUUUAAAGCAAGCUAACGCUUGAAUACAUUAGCAUGGAAUAAUGAAAUAGGACGUUCGAUCCUAUUUUGUUGGUUUCUAGGAUUGACGUAAUGAUUAAUAGGGAUAGUUGGGGGCAUUAGUAUUCAAUUGUCAGAGGUGAAAUUCUUGGAUUUAUUGAAGACUAACUACUGCGAAAGCAUUUGCCAAGGAUGUUUUCUAUUAAUCAAGAACGAAAGUUAAGGGGAGUCGAAGACGAUCAGAUACGUCGUAGUCUUAACCAUAAACUAUGCCGACUAGGGAUCGGAUGAUGUUAAUUUUUUAAAUUGACUCAUUCGGCGC
RNAcentral lists this ribosomal RNA (520 nucleotides) under uncultured Glomus. Its description in RNAcentral is "SSU rRNA". It matches the Rfam family "Eukaryotic small subunit ribosomal RNA", at positions 569 to 1086 of the family's 1831-position model. The record is from RNAcentral. Lineage: Eukaryota; Fungi; Glomeromycota; Glomeromycetes; Glomerales; Glomeraceae.